CCUACAGGAGGCAGCAGUGAGGAAUAUUGGUCAAUGGGCGCGAGCCUGAACCAGCCAAGUCGCGUGAGGGAAGACGGUCCUAUGGAUUGUAAACCUCUUUUGUCGGGGAGCAAAGCGAACCACGUGUGGUUCAUUGAGAGUACCCGAAGAAAAAGCAUCGGCUAACUCCGUGCCAGCAGCCGCGGUAAUACGGAGGAUGCGAGCGUUAUCCGGAUUUAUUGGGUUUAAAGGGUGCGCAGGCGGUCUGUUAAGUCAGCGGUCAAAGCCCGGGGCUCAACCCCGGCCCGCCGUUGAAACUGGGAGUCUCGAGUUGGAGAGAAGUAUGCGGAAUGCGCGGUGUAGCGGUGAAAUGCAUAGAUAUCGCGCAGAACUCCGAUUGCGAAGGCAGCAUGCCGGCUCCACACUGACGCUGAGGCACGAAAGCGUGGGUAUCGAACAGGAUUAGAUACCCUUGUAGUC
This 459-nucleotide ribosomal RNA is filed under the name uncultured bacterium. Its description in RNAcentral is "partial 16S ribosomal RNA". It matches the Rfam family "Bacterial small subunit ribosomal RNA", at positions 338 to 795 of the family's 1533-position model. The record is from RNAcentral.